ACCCCAUCUCUACUAAAAAUACAAAAAUUAGCUGGGUGUGGUGGCGCGCCUGUAAUCCCAGCUACUCGGGAGGCUGAGGUGGGAAAAUCACUCGAACCCCGGAGGUGGAGGUUGCAGUGAGCUGGGAUUGUGCCACUGUGCUCCAGCCUGG
This 151-nucleotide small nucleolar RNA is filed under the name Homo sapiens (human). Its description in RNAcentral is "H/ACA box". The record is from RNAcentral. Lineage: Eukaryota; Metazoa; Chordata; Mammalia; Primates; Hominidae.